Molecule: non-coding RNA, 828 nt
Organism: Cajanus cajan (pigeon pea)
Lineage: Eukaryota; Viridiplantae; Streptophyta; Magnoliopsida; Fabales; Fabaceae
Source: RefSeq, a predicted model, not a curated record
AGCAGGAAUUAGUGGCACAAGAUUGUCUAAUUCAGUGUUGGGGGCCAUUUCGACACCUUCGCAGAGUGCUCUGAGAGCAACAUGGCCAUCCAAUUCAACCCUCAAAAAGUGAAGAUGAGGCAAUCCAACUGAGUUUUGUGGAAGCUCAGAUAUCCUAGAUGAGCCAUAUGGACCUCCAUAUUCCAAGAUAAUGUCAAAUUUGUUGAAUGGAAAUAACGAAGAAACAUGCCUUCAAUCAAAUACAGUUAACUUAGUUUCAUGACAGAACAAGUAUGGCCAAAAAAUGGCACCAAAAGAAUUAUGGUUCGCAUUGAUGCUCACCAAUGUAAGAUUUGAUUGACUUAACUGAGGAAAUUGAAAGGAAAUCAGUUUCAUUUUAAAAAUGUCAGUAGUGCCCUCAUGUGCUAUGUGCUCACCAUUUUGGAUUAUUGCUGCUCCAAACCCAAUUUACAAAAAGAAAAUCCAUGCAUCUAGAAUCGGCAAAUUGAAAACAUGCUAAACAUAUCUUGUACAAAGCGUACAAUUCUAUGUAUGCAAGAUAAAAAACAUAACCCGAAACAAAAGCUUACUUGUGUGAAACCAACAAGCAGUCUGAAAUCAGAAGUUCUUUCAUUUUAGAAUCAGUUUCCUCAGGCACGGUAUUGGCAUAUGGCUGAUUUCUAUAAGAAUCAUUUAGCUCACUGAAUGAUAACCCCAGGGAAAGGAGGAGAUUUUUCAACGAACACCAGAAUAAUUCUUCAACCACAAUCAAAGUUUUCAAACUACUCCGGUUGAUGUAUGACUGUAAAAUUUCCUUGACAAUUGUUAAUGACGGAUGUGCCAUUGUAA